Molecule: ribosomal RNA, 586 nt
Filed under: uncultured bacterium
Lineage: Bacteria
Description: bacterial SSU rRNA
Rfam family: Bacterial small subunit ribosomal RNA
Source: RNAcentral
CCUACGGGAGGCAGCAGUGGGGAAUUUUGGACAAUGGGCGCAAGCCUGAUCCAGCCAUGCCGCGUGUCUGAAGAAGGCCUUCGGGUUGUAAAGGACUUUUGUCAGGGAAGAAAAGGGCGGGGUUAAUACCCCUGUCUGAUGACGGUACCUGAAGAAUAAGCACCGGCUAACUACGUGCCAGCAGCCGCGGUAAUACGUAGGGUGCGAGCGUUAAUCGGAAUUACUGGGCGUAAAGCGGGCGCAGACGGUUACUUAAGCAGGAUGUGAAAUCCCCGGGCUCAACCUGGGAACUGCGUUCUGAACUGGGUGACUAGAGUGUGUCAGAGGGAGGUAGAAUUCCACGUGUAGCAGUGAAAUGCGUAGAGAUGUGGAGGAAUACCGAUGGCGAAGGCAGCCUCCUGGGAUAACACUGACGUUCAUGCCCGAAAGCGUGGGUAGCAAACAGGAUUAGAUACCCUGGUAGUCCACGCCCUAAACGAUGUCGAUUAGCUGUUGGGCAGCUUGACUGCUUAGUAGCGAAGCUAACGCGUGAAAUCGACCGCCUGGGGAGUACGGUCGCAAGAUUAAAACUCAAAGGAAUUGACGG